UUAUUGGUCAAUCUCCAGCAAGGGGCAGGCCCGGAGAAAGGCGGGUCCUCGGAGGUGGAGAGAAGGUAGACUCUGGCCUCAGGCUGAAGGCCGCGUCACUGUGAGAGUAGCGGUUGCUUUGACCACUGUAAGGUACAGGACCCGGGGCUGGUGCGCCUGCUCACAGGAACGCUGGUUCUCCCACCGAGACUGUCAACCCCUCAAACUGACUGCAAACGGACCUGGUCUAGGUGCGCUGCUGGCGAGAAUAUCAUUAGACAGUUUGGAGACUGAGCUGUCAAUCAGGGUGGAGUCGGGACUGCGACGUCUGUGUGGCUCUGAUAAAGCUCCACAGACAGGAAUGGCCCGCCGGAUGAGAGUGGAUUAACAAACACUGAUGUCUCUUCACAGUCAGGGAAUGAGGCUAGGUGAGGCCUUGGCAGAACCAGUCCACCUGGCAGCGGCUUGGUAAACUAACGUAAGGAGCCAAAUCAGUACUGUCUCCCCCGUCAUCUGAAUCCUAAAAGAGCCAAAGGAAACAAAGGGAUCCAGCUCCUUGUUUCCUUCAAGCCAUUAAAGGUUGCAGCCUCAAGCCUGGCAAGUGACAGAAGUGUGGUAACCAAAAAAAAAAAAAAAAAGUGUGGUAACCAAGCCUCUCCUCACGGCAGGAGCCGUGACUUUGACGCCAUAGGGUCAGCGAAAUUGUGGAUUCCAGUCAGUACCCUUUGUCUUAGGAACAUUCGCCCUACACGUUGACUGUUCUCAGAUGACUUUUCUGACAAAGCCUCUCAAGUCUCUUCCAUCACUUCAGUUUCCUCAGCACCCAGCAACAAGUCUGACCCAUAAGAGAUGCCAGUGAAGGCUUGCUGAAAGGAAUGAGGGACGGAGAGAGAGGUGGCUGAUUGAAAGGUACCCACCUGUACAUGCAGAUAGAAAAACAAAACAUAAAUCAGACAUGAAUAGAUAAAAAUUCAUGAUGUCUGAGAUGACAAAACACUGAAUGGGAUUAGGAGACAACUAGCAAAAGAAGUGAUUUCUUAACUCGAAGCCAUUGGGGCAAAUGCACAGGGCAAAGAAACUGGGAAAGAUUGAACAGCAUAUCAGGCAGCUGUAGGACUUCAUAGGCCCAAUGUAUAUGCCAUUGGAGUCCCAGAAAAUGGAGAUGGGGGUGCAAGGGCAGAAAUAUUUGAAGAUUCAAAGUCAGAAAUUCAAGGAGCUCAAGCAGGCUCAGUAGGUGUGGGAGCUUGUUGCUCAAACAUGAGGACUGAGUUUCAAUCCCCAGCGGGGCAUGAGAGUGCAUCCCUGUAACACCCCUCCCCUGCACCUCCACCCUCACCCCCCCACCCCCCCUACCCACCCCCCCACCCCCCACCCCACCCCCGCUAUUGAGGGUGGAGACAGGGAUUACUGGGGCCUGCUGGCUGCUGGCUGCUGGCUGCCACACCAGCUCUAGGUUCAGUGAGAGACCCUGUCUCAAGGGAAUAAAGACAGAGAUUGAAAACCACCUGAUGGGCUGGAGAGAUGAUGGCUCAGUGGUUAAGAGCACUGACUGUUCUUCCAGAGGUCCUGAGUUCAAAUCCCAGCAACCACAUGGUGGCUCACAACCAUCUGUAAUGAGAUCUGAUGCCCUCUUCUGGUGUGCCUGAAGGCAGCUACAGUGUACUCGUAUAUAAUAAAUAAAUCUUUAAAAAAAAAGAAAAAAAGAAAACCACCUGACGUCCUGGGCUGGCCUCUUCACAUUUGCACCCAUACGUGCACAUAUGCCACAUACAUAUAUCACAUUCUGUAUGAAUAUACAAAAAGGAAAAAGGAAACGGUUAAGUCACUUGUAAAUGCUACUGAGCCCUGAAGUGGGUUCAACUAUAAUCCAAUGUCUCCUGGUCCAUACGUAUGUGUAAGUCUGCAUGUCACAAUCUUGUGGGUAUUCACCAGAGAAGACUGCUUGGACAUGGGUUUAAGCCAAUACAAAGUCUUAAUGGCUGGCCUUUUUUAGGGCGCUUUUACGAAAAAGAAUGUUCUGGGUUGACAUACUUCAGUUAACAAGAACAGUUAGCCAGAAGCAGAACUUCAGAAGCCAAAGAGCAAGGUUAGUUAGCACAUUAGAUAUCUCCCCGGACCUACAGACUUUGAUGGAUUGGGUCCUUGUUUUCCUUUCUGGCACAUGGUGCCAGUUGUGCUAAGAUCCCAGGGCCUACUAAGGUCUAGAACCCUGUUACAACAAUGGCAGCUGAGGAAAGAGACCUUUGUCUUGGCUUGUUGGUGUGGGCUAAAAGGAGUCUAGCACUGCUGUGUGCCCACUCAGUAGUUCCAGUGAACAGAAUGGGGAGCUAUCAUCCCAGAGGCAGAGUUUCAAGCUGUGAACGUGGCCACUCCCACUGUGUGGAAAGGAAUGUGGGUUAGAUUCAGGGGUAGUAGACGGCUCAGCUAAUUAGUCGGAAACCUGAAAUGGCUGUCUAGAAGUUAGAGGAUGGACUGGUCUGAGGAAGAAGCACAGGGAUGGGCUCAUGGGAGUUGACAAAAAGGAUGAAGAUCUUUGGUUGGUUUCUUUGUUCGUAGACAGGGUUUCACUAUGUAGCUUCUGCUGCCCUGGAACUCAUAUGCACACCACACUGGCCUUUGAACUCACAGAGAUCUGCCUACCUUUGCCUCCCAAAUCCUGGGAUUAAAGGCAUGUGCCACCAUACCCAACCAGACCAGAUGAAGAUCUGUGCAUUACACAUUGACCGCCAUGUAUAUGGCUGGAGCCCUUGGCGGUCAGAAGGUGACACUGGAUCCUCUAGAAUUGGAAUUCAUGGUUAUGAAUCACCAUGUGGGUUUGGGGAACUAGACCUGGAUCCUCUGCAAGUACAACAAGUACUUAAAACCUCUGAGCCAUUUCUCCAGCCCCAAAGAUUUACUUUUUAUUAGUUUUACUUAUGUGCGUGUGUUUGUACCCAUUUGUGUACCAUGUACAUACUGGUGCCAGUGGAUGCCAGACGAGACUGUCAGAUCAUCUAGAGCUGGAGAUAAGGAGCCAACCAAUAUGAGUGCUGGAAAAAGAACUUAGGUCAUAUGGAAGCACAGCAAGAGUUCUUAACUGCUGAGUCAUCUCUCCAGCCCUCCAAGUGUAUGCACAUACUUUAAAAAUAAAAUAAUUCUUGCUGGGUGUGGUGCACAUGCCUUCAGUCCCAGCACUCUGGAGGCAGAGGUAAGCAAGAUCUCUCUAAGUUUGAAGCUGGCCUUGUCUACAUGGAGAGUUCCAGGCUAGCUAAAGCUACAAAAGAGACCUGUCUCAAAAAACAAAAAACAAAACAAAAACAAAAACAAAAAACAACCUUAAAAAUUAAAAUCUUUGAAAUAAUUUGCAAAGCAUCUGAUUUGCUGAAAUGGAACCAUGACAUACCUGCCUAGUAUCAAAGUUUUUUUAUGCAAAGGUAUUGUGGCAAUAGGCACAUGACACUCCCUGUUCCUGCCACAUACUGCACCAUCCAGAAGUCAUUUCACUGAUGUACUAGAAUAACUGCAUCAGGAUUCAGAUGCAGCACAGACCUGGAGACAAAGUGCUUUUUUCCAGUAAGUCGUGCGCUCUGAACCAAAAACUGUUUCAUGAGUUCUCUCAUGGUAAUUGUAAUUCCCAGUGACCCACUUGGGAAAUUCUACUCCAUUAAGUUUUCUUAGGUCUAGAGGUCCUGAUUGCCAAAGAGGUCAUGUCUACCAGGGGACAUGGUAAAAUUGAAGCUGACUGCCACCUAAUCACAUGGAACUCAUGUAAGUAAUUAGUAACCACUGAAAACAGUAACCAAAUUGGCUGGAAUUACUGUGUAGCGAGUCUAGAACUCUCUCUAUAGACCCAUGGCCUGGCACGUGUGUGGAGGUCAUAGGACAUCUUGCAAAAGUCAGUUCUCUACUUCCACCAGGAGAGUUCCAGGGAUCAAAUUCUGUUCAUCAGGCUUGGCAGCAAGUGAGACAUCUCACCAGCCCCUUGUCCUUGUAAAUAGGGCUAAUGACUACAUAAUAUAUACAAUGUAUACUAGCAGGAAUGCCUGCCACAGGUCAUUCCCCACCCCACAGCACUAAGUAUUAAAUGCAGGCUUCACCCAUGCUAAGCAAGUGCUCCUCCACUACUAUGCCACAUUCACAGCCUAGAGGCAACUGGGGGGGGCGGGGGCGGGCAGGCAGCUCUGUUCUACUCCCAUGGGAAUUAACUAUAAACAGGCAAGUUGAGCAAAAUGCUCAAGAAAGACAGAGGGAUGAGCUAAUUAGAAGAAAAGUGGGAACUGGAGAGAUGGCUCAGUGGUUAAGGGCACGGGCUGCUCUAACAGAGGUCCUGAGUUCAAUUCCCAGCAACCACAUGGUGGCUCUUCUGGUGUGUCUGAAGAGAGUGACAGUGUACUCUCAUAUAUCGAAUAACUAAAUAAAUCUUUUUUUAAAAAAAAAGAGUUAGAAAAGAAGAGGAAACAAAGAGCCACUUCAAAGAAAGGAAUAUGGAAGGAAUAGAGAAGAGAUUGGAUAUUGCUUGUGGCUACGUGAGGACUUGAGUUCAAAUCUCCAGAACCCAUGCAAAGGAAGCCAUAUCAUCAGCACGUAACUGUAAUCUGAGUGUUCCUGCAGCAACUCGGGAAGCAAAGAGAGGAAGCUCUUCAGAAGUUCACAGUCCAAUACAGGCCGCAGCAAACAAGAGGACCUUGCCUCAGGCUAGAGAGAUGGCUUAGCAAUUAAGAGCAUUUAUCAGGAGAGCCUGGGUCAAUUCCCAAGCACACAGAUCCCAGAGGAUCUCACAACCUCUUUUGGUCAGACAAAAAAGCUAUACACAUACAACAAAUCAAGGAAGACCAAGACAGAGACACAGUCGGAGUUAGACGCAGAGUCAGAAUCAGAGACCGAGACAGAGACCUUGUCUCAAACAAGGUGAAAGGAGGCAAGGACCAACACCCAAGAUUGACCACACACUUCACACGUACACUCAUUCACGUCACUCAUGCACGUGCACGCACGCACACACACACACACACACACACACACACACACACACACACACACGCAGAAUAAUAUAUCAUAAAGGAUAUGAAUUAAGGUCCAGUGAGGACUUUGUGAUCUCUAGGAAGAAGAAUUCGAUAAGAGACAUUCUAACUAGGAAAAGGGGGAAAUAGAAUGACUUUUUAAAAAUUGCUCAGUCUAAAAAACAGAAAAAGAGCUGCCAGCUUUGGUGUUGUACUGCUGUAAUCCCAGUACCUGUGAGGCACAAGGAAGAGAAACACCAAGUUCAAGGCCAGCUUUGUAUGGUAAGUCAGAGGCCAGGCUGAAUUAUAUAGCAAUACCCCGUCUCUAAAACCAAAAACAUUGGCUAGAGAGAUAUCUCAACGGUAAGAGUAUGACUGUUCUUCCGGUUUUGAUUUUCAGCAGCUACCUGGUGGCUCACAACCAUUUAAAAUCUAGUUCCAGUGGAUCCAGUGCAGUUUUGGCUCUGUGAGCACCAAGCACAUAUACAGUGCAUAGACAUACAGGCAAAACAUUCCUACAGCAUAAAGUAAAAGAAGCCCCCAGACUGGCAAAAAUAAAAUCUCUGGCAAGGAAGGGAACAGACCCAAGGGGUUCUCUCAACUGCAUUCUUAAGCAGCAUUCUUAGAAAGCAGCAAAAGGGGGUUGGGGAUUUAGCUCAGCGGUAGAGCGCUUACCUAGGAAGCGCAAGGCCCUGGGUUCGGUCCCCAGCUCCGAAAAAAAGAACCAAAAAAAAAAAAAAAAAAAAAAGAAAGAAAGCAGCAAAAGACCCUAGAGAAACGAUGCAUCGUGGGAAGAUGGCUGCUAACAGCACUAUCUGUAAUUGUCCCCACAUGGAAACUCUCAGGCAUCCCUCUACAGAACUGGCUCUGUGAGCAGUGAUACAGUCAUACAGUGGAAUUGUUUCAACAAUGAGCUUGAACAAAGUUAGCUAUGUGUGGCAAUAUGAAAAAAAUCUCAUAAUGAGCCAAAGAGGUGAGAUGCCAGAGAUUGCAUCUGUAUGAUUCUGUUGCUACAAAACAGGAAAACAGGAAAAUGCUGGAAUGGGUGAAGAACUGGGUGGUGAAGAUUACAAGAACACGAGAGUCACCAAAGCCAGGGCUGCGGAGGGGAGGGCUGUGACAGGGAAUGUCUGUGGGUUCGAUAUGGCUCCUCGGCAACCGUAGACACCCUUUGCAAUUCGGCCCCCUGCACAUUUAUAUUCACAUUUCUCUGCAUUUUAUUUCACAGGAAAUGGAGAAGGAAAGGAGUUGCCUGAGCUCUCAGGCAGUGCAAGGACAGCUGCCAGGAAGCCAAAUGCCUGUGUAGAGAUGAGUCAGAGGUCUGCCCUGCCUCUCCAGUCUCCCUCCAGGGAGAGACAGGAAAGUGGUUUGAAGGGGAUCACCACCUGCACAUACUUUUGUGGUUCAGUGUUGUGGCACUGGCAAAGGCCACUGCCCCUUCUCCAAGAAAAGGAGGUUUCCUUAAGGACUCCAUAGCCGAAGUCUUAACCAGGUGGAGGGAACAGAAGGUGCAGGUGGAUGCUUGCAGGAUGGUUCAAGGGGUUCAGUGAGGUUCAUAUCUGUGUUGGUUCAGGUCCUAGAUCUACUCUGUGGGCCCUUGCAUUGUCUAGUCAUCCCCCCAGGACUUGUAUCAAAGCCUCUUCUCUAUUAGGUUGACCUGUAUUGGGAAUGAAGCUGUGUCUGGGGGGAGGGGGGUCUGGUUGAUAAGGUGCACACCCAGAAACACGACCCAGAGUGGGAGCAACUGGCCCUUGUCUAAGUCUCUAACUACCCUACUGGGGCUUGUAGCUCAGUGGUAGAGCACUUGCCUCUAACAUUAGUAAGAUGCUGGGGUUCCAUCUCUAGCUGUUUAAACAAUAUAUGAAAAUCCUUUUACCAAUAAAAAAAUCUAAAAAGAGGGAAACAAUCUCAAAGAGCAAAAAGGUUCUCCACACUUCCAGACCAGGAAACAUAGAACCAUGUUCCUCCCUGGGCCUUGACUCCAGGAUGCUUCUCUUUGCUCAGAUUCCAAACAGAAGCCAUCUAUGACCACAUCAUAAAAGCAGAAAAGUCAGGGAACCCUCUCGGGGCUUCAGUUUCUCUCUCAGUCCCUCAGAAGUAAGGCAGGACCUCAAGCUCCUGUUGCCCACCCCAAACCCUGCCUCACACACUGGGAUCCAAAAGGCAAAUUUGCUCCCCCACAGCUAUGGCUCUUGGGGUGGCUGAGGGCACCUGAGAGCUAUGGGAGGUUAGCAGAGCUGACCAGAUACCCACAAUGAUUAGUGGAGUGUCAGGGAGCCAGACUGGAGCCAUAGUUUCAACUCGGAGCAGCGAAGCAGUGAUGGAUUCACAUGACCGUAAGUAGCAAAGCUGAGACUCAAACUCAGGCUUCUCCAGUCUCUCACUUAAAAAUGGGUCUACUUGGGGGCUGGAGAGAUGGCUCGGCGGUUAAGAGCACUGUCUGCUCUUCCAGAGGUCCUGAGUUCAAUUCCCAGCAGCCACAUGGUGGCUCACAACCAUCUGUAAUGGAAUCUGAUGCCCUCUUCUGGUGUGUCAGAAGACAGUACAGCAUACUUAUACCUAAUGAAUAAAUAAAUUAAAAAAAAUGGGUCUAUUUCUCCAGCUCAGUAACAUAAAUGCCUGAAGUGUUCACUACACAGUAACCACCACACUAGGAGUUCCUCUCUCAUGGUGUAGGACCAAGGACUGGACUCUUCCAUCACCCCUGUGCACAAUCUUGCAAAUAAGGCCCUCGACUUGAGUCGGUUCACAGAGAUGGACAGCUGUACCAGCUGGUCCAGAGGUAAGACAAGGCUGUGUGAAACCCCUAGGUGGGCCUUGAACCUCACAGUUUAGUCAACUGUUUAGUCAGCCUGAAGGAUCCAGCUCUGACCCAAAGAAUCCUUAAUCUUCUAGCCUUGAAACACAUCAGCCUCUGAGCUGGUCUCCAAAGCAGGAGAUCUGCAGCACCGUGCACACUCGCAGACUCCUAGGCACGGGACUUCUAUUUUGUAUUUUACAGAAAUGGACACUGGCCAUUUCCAUGGACCCAGUCCCUGGUUGAGUUUAGAAAGGGAGGAAAAAAAUGAUUGGCCCCCGAGGGAUUGUUCAAAACAGCAAAAGUUCCAUAUGCCCUAAACCUGACCAUGGCAUCCUGAUCCCUCUCCCACAGUAGGCUGAAAGGAAACAUCUGCAGAGAUGGACAUCUGGUUCCUGGAAACAGAUGCCCAGUGGAAUCCAAUGUCUGUCAUUCACUGCACCCUGUGAUGCCAGGGGGACAUAGCCUCCCACAUUCACAAAUUUGAAGCUUCCAAAAUACAGGAGUUGUGGAGGGGGGCUCCCAAACAAAAGCCCCUCUUACUAGACAGCAGUCCCUGGCUACUGAGCACAAGCCCCAGUCCUUGCUCUAGGUUCUAUGUAAACGCCUCUCCUCCAGGGCUGGAGAGAUGGCUCAACAGUUAAAGAGCUCUGACUGCUCUUCCAGAGGACCCAGGUUCAAUUCCCAGCACCCACAUGGCGGCUCACAACCAUUCAUAACUCCAGUCCCAGGAGAUCUGACACCCUCUUCUGUCACCCCUGGGCCCCAGGUGCCUACACAUGAUACACAGACAAACAUGCAGGCAAGACACUCGUACACAUAAAAUAAUAAAAUACAAAUUAAAAAAAAAACCAACCUUCUUCUCCAACAUAAAGUGCAAUGGUGCCAAGGUCUCUGCCGGCCCUGACAUCCAGAUGCGUUUAUUUUCACAGAAAAAGCCCAGUCUAAACAGCUGUGCCAGGGGUGUGGCCUGGACCAACUGGGAUUACCCAAACUACUUGGGGGUAUGUGGAUGCCACUAGCCCCACCUUUCCUUGGCCUGUCCCACUUCACUCUCGUCAGCACUUCAGGAAGAAGUGUAACUGGAACCUUCCCCUGACCCCCGACCCACCAACCCCACUGGAUUCUAAGCUCCUGGAUCCCAGAAUACAGCACC
This is a non-coding RNA of Rattus norvegicus (Norway rat), 8911 nucleotides long. The record is from RefSeq and is a predicted model, not a curated record. Lineage: Eukaryota; Metazoa; Chordata; Mammalia; Rodentia; Muridae.